This 468-nucleotide ribosomal RNA is filed under the name uncultured bacterium. RNAcentral's name for it is "partial 16S ribosomal RNA". It matches the Rfam family "Bacterial small subunit ribosomal RNA", at positions 28 to 507 of the family's 1533-position model. The record is from RNAcentral.
GACGAACGCUGGCGGCGUGCUUAACACAUGCAAGUCGAACGGAAAGGCCCUGCUUUUGUGGGGUGCUCGAGUGGCGAACGGGUGAGUAACACGUGAGUAACCUGCCCUUGACUUUGGGAUAACUUCAGGAAACUGGGGCUAAUACCGGAUAGGAGCUCCUGCUGCAUGGUGGGGGUUGGAAAGUUUCGGCGGUUGGGGAUGGACUCGCGGCUUAUCAGCUUGUUGGUGGGGUAGUGGCUUACCAAGGCUUUGACGGGUAGCCGGCCUGAGAGGGUGACCGGCCACAUUGGGACUGAGAUACGGCCCAGACUCCUACGGGAGGCAGCAGUGGGGAAUAUUGCACAAUGGGCGGAAGCCUGAUGCAGAAACGCCGCGUGCGGGAUGACGGCCUUCGGGUUGUAAACCGAUUUCGCCUGUGACGAAGCGUGAGUGACGGUAAUGGGUAAAGAAGCACCGGCUAACUACGUG